This 28-nucleotide non-coding RNA is filed under the name unclassified sequences. The record is from RNAcentral.
CAACCUCUAGCGAUACCCGUACAUGUUG